This 1275-nucleotide ribosomal RNA is filed under the name Lyriothemis pachygastra. RNAcentral describes it as "16S ribosomal RNA". The stretch from base 545 to 1275 matches the Rfam family "Archaeal large subunit ribosomal RNA", at positions 1423 to 2845 of the family's 2987-position model. Lineage: Eukaryota; Metazoa; Arthropoda; Insecta; Odonata; Libellulidae. The record is from RNAcentral.
AGAAGAAUCUUUUUAGUUAGUAUACAUAACGAACCCUUUAUUUUGUUAUAGUAAAUUAGUACUGUUAAGGAAUUGAUGAAAUAAUUUAAAUGUUAAUUUUGGGGAAGUAUAUUUUAUUUAUAGUACCUUUUGUAUCAGGGUUAAUCAAUUAAUAUAAUGUAUAUUUAUAUCUCGAUUUUAGAAGAGCUAAUCUGUUAUUUUAGUUAAUGUGACAUAAUUAUUAAUAAUAUAGGUUAGUGGAGAAAUUUUAUUCGAUUCUAAAGGUAUCUAGUUUUUUAAGAAAUAAAUUUAAUUUAAUUUUAUCUAUUAUUAUUUAUAUUAUUAUGAAUUAAUAUCAGAUAAAUUAAAAAUUAUAGGGGAUAAGCUCUAUAUUUUUCUAUAAAAAUUUAAUUUAAUAAAUUUUUGUAAGCUUAAAAUUAGCUAUCAUUAGUAAAGGUGUUAUAAUUUAUAUUUAUUGUUAAUUAAUUUUAUUUAUUUUAGUAUCAUAUUAAAAUAUCAAAAUAAAUUUAAUAUUUUGAGUAAUAAUGAUUAAAUUAGUAUAGAAUAUUGUUUAUUAUAUAAAAUUUUACAUGAUAAAAUAAGGAACUCGGCAAAUAUAGUUCUCGCCUGUUUAUCAAAAACAUGUCCUUUAGAAUUUAAUUGAAGGUCUAACCUGCCCAGUGAUGAUUUUAACGGCCGCGGUAUACAGACCGUGCAAAGGUAGCAUAAUCAUUAGUCUUUUAAUAGAGGGCUGGUAUGAAAGGUUUGACGAGGGACUAGCUGUCUCAUUUUAUUUGUUUUAAAAUUUAAUUUUUUAGUUAAAAAGCUAAAAUUCUAUUGGAAGACGAGAAGACCCUAUAGAUCUUUAUAUAGAUUAAUAUAGAAGGACAUAUAUCAUAUUUUUAUAUUAUUCUGUAUUUUGUUGGGGUGACAAAAAUAUAUAAUUAACUUUUUUAUUUAUCAACCAUUGAUUUAUGAAUAUUAGAUCCAUUAUUAGUGAUUAUUAGAUUAAGCUACCUUAGGGAUAACAGCGUAAUCCUCCUCCAGAGUUCAUAUUUACAGGAUGGGCUUGCGACCUCGAUGUUGGAUUAAGAUAAUAAUUAGGUGUAGCCGCUUAAUUUAUAGAUCUGUUCGACCUUUAAAUUCUUACAUGAUCUGAGUUCAGACCGGUUUAAGCCAGGUCGGUUUCUAUCUCCAAUUUUAAUUAGUUUUUAGUACGAAAGGACCAAGACUAUAAAAUAAUUUUUAAUUAUUGAAUUACUAUUUUGGCAGAAAAGUGCCAUGAAUUUAGAAUUC